CAAAAUAUUUUAAACACUAUUUUUCCCAUUAUCCUGGUCUAGACAGAUAGAUUAUUUUUCUAAAGUUCAAUAAAUUGCAAUGCUCAAAAAUCCUACAUGGUUUUCCAACAUUAAGUUUUGUUUCCCUUGUUCCUGUGCUUUAUUCAUGAUGUUUCAUGAAUGCUGCCCAAUCAAAUUUAGUUUAUUUGGUUCAAGAUGCUGCAGUGGGAAGUAGUUCACUGCCUGGGCAUGCAAUAGAUCUGGCCUCUCGUGCUGGCUCCAGGUAGCUGUGUGACCUUGGGAAGAUAUCUGAUAUCUCUGGGCUUCAUUUCCCUCAUAUUAUAAAAUGCAGGGAGCUGGACAAGCUGAUCUCUGUGGUUCCUUUCGGCUCCACCUUCUGGGACUUGCAGUUCGGUUGCCAUAAAGUCAGCAGAGGGAGCACUUUUUCUACAUCUCAUAAAUUUUGACUAUUAUUUCAACACCUCUCAAAAAGCAAGGGGUUUGUGAAAAACGUUACUGAAACUAAAAACUGACAAUCCUUCACAUAGUGUGUAUCAAAUCACGAAUGUGAUUAUAAAUUUGAGAAAAAG
Non-coding RNA from Ceratotherium simum simum (southern white rhinoceros), 569 nucleotides. Lineage: Eukaryota; Metazoa; Chordata; Mammalia; Perissodactyla; Rhinocerotidae. The record is from RefSeq and is a predicted model, not a curated record.